CUAGGACCCGGUGCAAACCCGGGUGGCUCUUCUGGCCGCCGAUCCGCCAGACAAUC
Pelagibacterium sp. SCN 63-23 is the source of this 56-nucleotide non-coding RNA. The record is from Rfam. Lineage: Bacteria; Pseudomonadati; Pseudomonadota; Alphaproteobacteria; Hyphomicrobiales; Devosiaceae.